RNAcentral lists this ribosomal RNA (279 nucleotides) under uncultured bacterium. Its description in RNAcentral is "partial 16S ribosomal RNA". It matches the Rfam family "Bacterial small subunit ribosomal RNA", at positions 506 to 784 of the family's 1533-position model. The record is from RNAcentral.
UGCCAGCCGCCGCGGUAAUACGGAGGGUGCAAGCGUUGUUCGGAAUUACUGGGCGUAAAGCGCGUGUAGGCGGCUUGGCAAGUCGGGUGUGAAAUCCCAGGGCUCAACCCUGGAACUGCACUCGAAACUGCUUCGCUCGAGUCCUGGAGAGGGUGGUGGAAUUCCCAGUGUAGAGGUGAAAUUCGUAGAUAUUGGGAGGAACACCGGUGGCGAAGGCGACCACCUGGACAGUGACUGACGCUGAGACGCGAAAGCGUGGGGAGCAAACAGGAUUAGAUA